UUCUGUCAGUCGUACUUUAACCAUGAAGCAGUUGGUGUUACUGUUUAUUAUAUUUCAAAUAGUUUAUUCACGUCCUCACCAUGAAGAUUCACAUUCACCAGAUAAGGAUAAAGUUGAAAAAUCUAAAGAUCAAGAAUUUAAAGAUUAUUUUGAGGAAGGAAGUUUUCAAAAAAAAACUGAUAAAGUCAACGACAAUGAUUUUAUAGCAAAUAUACCAAAGUGUGCAAAGGAUAUGUAUAGAACACCGUGGGGAGUUUGCCAACAUAAAGGCAAAAAACAAAAAACAAAGAAAAAAUACUAUCCAGGGACAUGGAUGUUGUCAGAUUAGCUAAAUACGUAACAACUUAAGACAAGGUCAAAAAAUUGAGACUAAAUAAAUUAAUGAACGACUGGAUACUUCAUAGAUUUCACAAUUUUUUACAGAAAAACUGAGUUGCGAAAGUUAUGUUGUAUAAACUUAAUUAGAUUAGAAACCCUCGUAUAAAGAUUCAGAUUUUGAUUAUUUGUUUUAUUUGCAUAUUGAGUAGAAGGAUGAAUUUGUUGCUAAUAAAUCAAUAUUUUAAAUGUGA
This is a long non-coding RNA of Zerene cesonia (dogface butterfly), 569 nucleotides long. RefSeq lists it as uncharacterized. The record is from RefSeq and is a predicted model, not a curated record. The transcript has 2 exons. NCBI's taxonomy places the organism in Eukaryota, Metazoa, Arthropoda, Insecta, Lepidoptera, Pieridae.